Molecule: unclassified non-coding RNA, 230 nt
Filed under: Hevea brasiliensis (rubber tree)
Lineage: Eukaryota; Viridiplantae; Streptophyta; Magnoliopsida; Malpighiales; Euphorbiaceae
Source: RNAcentral
AGAAUUGUAGUGGAAUUUUCUUUCUUCUUGUUUUUCUCAUUCAAACUACUAUAGUUUUCAAGACUCUGCCUUUUUCCCCCUUCUCUGCUUAGCCUUUUCCACCUAUUUUUUGCUAUUCAGAUCUCAAGUUUUACACUUUGCUUUCCCUCUGUAAAUUUCUUGUUUUGUGGCAAAAUUCAGAAAGUAGCAAAGUUUUCUUGAAAUGGCCGGCCGUUAUGAUCAUAACCCUU